AUGCUAAUCGUCUUGGGAACCUGCUGACUGAAGUUAAUGAUAAUAAAGUUGUUAAUGGUUUUGGCAUACGCUCCAUUUCUUUGUUAACCGGAGAGGAGUUUUUGUGGUUUAUUUUGUUGUCAUUUCUAUUGUCCGAGUAAUUUUCAGGGUUGUAAUCCGAGUAUUGUCUCGUUACUCAAACCCUUCUAUCCUUUUAUCUUGAUUUGUUUGUUUAGUCGUAGUAGCUCGUUUAGUGUUGUCUAGGUUUGUUCCAAGGUUGUAACCCCAGUUUAGUUUGCUUCUUGUGUUGUUCUAAC
RNAcentral lists this long non-coding RNA (296 nucleotides) under Nicotiana benthamiana. RNAcentral's name for it is "long non-coding RNA (NBEN_LNC011001)". Lineage: Eukaryota; Viridiplantae; Streptophyta; Magnoliopsida; Solanales; Solanaceae. The record is from RNAcentral.